AAACAUACAACAGAAACUGCAAUUCUUGAAAUCUUUUUACAAGAAAUAUACUGAAUCAGUGCAGAAUAUGCAUUAAUUGCAAAAGGUGGAGCUGAUAGCAACAUGCCUCUAAUGUAUAGUUGACGACCUUAAGUUCUCCAAAAAAUGGAAAGCAUUGUUUAAUAGCAAUAUGAAAAUAGUGGAAACCUUAACUGAAAGUGACCAAAACAUAUUACUUCAUUAAGAAGAUGGAUAACAACUAUGAACCCUGUAGAUUCUAUUGUUGCUUCCAACAUGAUACUUAGAGAUUAGAAAACAUUUCUGAAUGCUAGAUGCAUUGAAAAUACUGGAAAAAUCAACAUUCAUGUUUAACAUUCUUCUAGAAGCAAGCUUACGAAAAUACAGGCCAUUUUCGAAAAUGUUGUUCUCCAAACUGUCUAAUACCAACGUUUAAUAAUUGUGACCGAGCUAUGGUAGCUUCAAGCCUGUAUUUAUACUCAUUUUAAUCUCUUUAUAUUUUAGAUUAAUAUUCAUUUUCAACAUUCUUCUAGAAGCGUGUGCUUAUGAAAAUACAGGCCAUUUUCGAAAACGUUGUUUUCCUAACUAUCUAAUACCAAAGUUUGAUAAUUAAUUGUGACGACGCUAUUGUAGCUACAAACCUGUAUUUACACUCGUUUUAAUCUCUCUAUAAUCAAGAUCAACAUUAAUGUCCAAAACUCUUCUGAGAGUUGGUGUAUACGAAAAUACAGGCUACUUUCGAAGACGCUAUUUCCCCAACUCAUUUGUGAAAUACCAAAGUUUGCUAAUCAAUUAUGAGGACACCAUUGGAGCUACAUAUUAACAUUUGCACCUAUUCUAAUCCGUGUAUAUUCAAGAUCAACUUUAUAACAUUCUUCUGGGAACUUAGUUACAUUUUUAGUUUCGUUAGAAGAAGUUGUUUAUUUUGAUUAUUUAUGCUGAAGAAAGAAGUUAUGGUUUUAUUGGAAGAAGCUGUUUACUUUAAUUAUUUGGGCGGAAGAAGAAAUCAGAAGAAUAAGUGUUAUUUUUGUAUUUGUCUUUGACUCAACAGACAGUGGCUAGCUUGUUGGCGCGUAAUGCGGAAACCAAAUGAAGAAGUGGGAAGGAAGAAAAAAAACAUUCUAAUUUUAAUUAAUAAACAUAUCAGAUUAGUGCUCG
Long non-coding RNA from Nicrophorus vespilloides, 1155 nucleotides. RefSeq lists it as uncharacterized. The transcript is spliced from 3 exons. The record is from RefSeq and is a predicted model, not a curated record. Lineage: Eukaryota; Metazoa; Arthropoda; Insecta; Coleoptera; Silphidae.